RNAcentral lists this unclassified non-coding RNA (207 nucleotides) under uncultured fungus. Its description in RNAcentral is "sequence contains ITS1". The record is from RNAcentral. Lineage: Eukaryota; Fungi.
GUCUCUUUGCCAACAUGAUAUAACACAGUCAAACACAGCAAGCGUGAAUGUCUCUGGACUCGGCCUACCACCACCCAAGGGGCAUUAUGCCGAGCCCGAGUCAAUGUGGGGAAGGAGGGGGACUGCGCCAUGUUAUGUUACCGGCGAGUCCCGACUACCACCAUCCAUGAUUUGUUAAUGAUCCUUCCGCAGGUUCACCUACGGAAA